CAGCGUGCUUUCGCUUCCUGUACUGGUCAUUUAUUGUAAAAAAUGUGCCAUAACCAGAAACAAGUGGCAUUAUGUUAAAUUGGCUCUCAGUGGUUAUACUUCCUCAACCUCUGACAACACGUCAGGACAAGCUGUGCACUGCAGGAUGGCACGCAGCGAAGCCACAAGAACCUCCGGUGAACCUGUGGUCGGGAGAUUCUUCUCUCCCCCACCUACCUGCGUCAAGAGCUUGAAACCUAGGGUAAACACAGCCUCUGGAUAACCUGAGCUACAUUUCCAGGCAGCUGUGUGAAAGAUUACAACUAUGGGGUAGAAGAGAAAGACAAAAGUAUGGGAUGAGCGAAAAGUGAGAGAAUGGGAAGAGAUGGUGGGCAGCAGCUGGAGGUGAUUACUGCUCCCAGGUCACAUCCCUCAGCCGUGCUCCAAUUCCUUCACUCACUUUAACCUCUGCAGAUGGACACCUGUGAGAUGUGGUCCAGAACAAGAACUAGCCUGCUAACAUCCUGAAAUAUGUGGAGUCUGGGGCAAACCAUGAAAUUCUCCCUGCUGCUGCCUUCUGCUGAGAAUUGGAUGAACCCAGAAUCUCCCUUUCUUCCUUAUCUUGAUUAGAAACAUCAGGAUCAGCUCAUUUUCACUUGAUGUCAAUUUUUUUUUUCACACUGCAUUUUUUUUUUGUUUUUUACACAACAACUUUGGAUCUGAAUAAGAUUUUUUCACAACACGCUCAGCUUCCAAUGGCCUUAAACACACAAGCUCUGUAUCAUGAUUGCAAUGUCAUGAGCGCAAAUGGAAUAAUUACCAAAAAAAGUCAGUUAAAAAGAGCUAUCUGAUGAAAGUAAGUUGUAAAAAGUAACGCUCAUGGAGGAAUAAUUACCCAUUUUCGUAGUUUUUACUAGUUUCCAUGAGCUUAAAUGUAGCAUACCAGUCAAAAACUGUACAUAAAAGAUGUCAUGUUCUGGACUAUAUUAUACAGUUGUGGACUAUGCCUUUUUGUAGCAUCGGUUUUAGCAUUUUAGCUGUUGCAUGUUUUGUUUUGUUUUUUUUAGAACAAGGCAAGACAGUGUUUGGACUA
Oreochromis niloticus (Nile tilapia) is the source of this 1072-nucleotide long non-coding RNA. RefSeq lists it as uncharacterized. The transcript has 3 exons. NCBI's taxonomy places the organism in Eukaryota, Metazoa, Chordata, Actinopteri, Cichliformes, Cichlidae. The record is from RefSeq and is a predicted model, not a curated record.